This is a long non-coding RNA of Xenia sp. Carnegie-2017, 532 nucleotides long. RefSeq lists it as uncharacterized. The transcript is spliced from 3 exons. The record is from RefSeq and is a predicted model, not a curated record. NCBI's taxonomy places the organism in Eukaryota, Metazoa, Cnidaria, Anthozoa, Malacalcyonacea, Xeniidae.
GGUAGGUUUGGGAAAACUCCUCUCUGUUGUUUGCGAAGUUUACAUAACGUGCGAACGUACCGAAGAAGAGGACCACUAACACAGAGGCAAGGGAUUCUUAUUGUCUCAGAUCUAUCUCAAUUUUCAAAGCGUGCAAACGAGACUUUCAACUUGAUUUGUACAUUUUUACCUUCGUGGCUAACUUGGCUUCAGUAAAAGAGGUUUUUAUUGGAGGGAUUCUACACAAUAAAACUGGUGUGAAGAAUUAAAUCCGCUCAUUCAGAAGCUGAUUCUUCUUGCUUGAACAUGAGUCCACAACACGUUGACAGAUGUCUUGCUGUGAAACAAGAAAAAAUGAGAGUCCCCCAUUGGCCAUGUCAAGAAACAGUGGCUGCUGCAGAAGUCAAUGAUAAAUCAAUUAGGAACUGGAUAAAUGAACAAUUGUAAUUUAUAUAGUCAAUCAAUUUUAUCUAUUUUAUUUGUUGUACCAAGAACAUGUUGUAUAUAUUUAUGUAUUGAAUGAAAAGAGAAUGCCCAACAUUUUACUUCUCAA